This 1607-nucleotide long non-coding RNA is filed under the name Solanum tuberosum (potato). RNAcentral describes it as "long non-coding RNA (STUB_LNC009241)". The record is from RNAcentral. Lineage: Eukaryota; Viridiplantae; Streptophyta; Magnoliopsida; Solanales; Solanaceae.
GUAAAUAGACUAAUCCCCGGUCGAGUGGGAUAUACCGAUGAAUUUAUAAGUGGAAUGGAUGAAUUUAUUAAAUUUUCUUGUAGUCAACAUAAGUAUUUGUCUGAAAAAGUUAUAAGGUGUCCUUGUAAGCGUUGUAAAAAUAUGAAGCAUCUGACACCCGAUGAAGUUAAUGUGCAUGUUUUUCGAAAAGGAUUCACACCAAGAUAUUGGUAUUGGACGUCACAUGGAGAGGAAGCCCCUUCAAUUAAUUUGAAUGAACAUAUCUAUUUUGGUGAUUCAAGUAGUCAUCAAGAAUGUGACUUUGACAUACCCUCAAGCAGUCAAUGUAACAUUCUAGAAAAAAACUGUGAACACGUAGGUAUGAUUGAUGUUGUUGCUGCUGUAGAAUUUAGUCAUCAAGUUGAACCCAAUGUAGAAGAGUCUCCGAAUAUAGGUGCUAGCAGAUUUUACAAAAUGUUGAAACGUGUGGGCAAGAAGGGUAAGAAAAAUAUUCCACACAAGACAAUGCAUUACCUGCCACUUAUUCCUAGACUUCAACGGUUAUAUGCUUCGAAAAGAUCUGCUGAACACAUGAGGUGGCACUAUGAAAAUCGCAGGGAAGAAGGUGUGUUAUGCCACCCUUCGGAUGGAGAAUCAUGGAAAAUUUUUUAUCGAACUUAUCCAGACUUUGCUGUAGAGCCUAGAAAUGUUAGGCUUGGUCUUUGUUCUGAUAGUUUUACUCAUUUUGGCCAAUCAGGAUCAUCAUACUCUUGUUGGCCAAUGAUUGUUACACCAUACAAUCUUCCUCCUGAUAUUUGUAUGACUGCCCCAUAUAUGUUCUUAACAUUGAUUAUUCCAGGUCCUCAUAAUCCCAAAAAUAAAAUUGAUGUGUAUCUUCAACCGUUAAUAGAUGAAUUACAACAGUUAUGGAAAGAUGGUGUAGUCACUUAUGACAUGUCCAAGAAACAGAAUUUUCUUAUGCGAGCAGCAUUGAUGUGGACAAUUAAUGAUUUUCCUGCUUAUGGCAUGCUGUCGGGAUGGAGUACAGCAGGUAAAUUAGCUUGCCCAAUUUGUAUGGAUGAAACAAAAACUUUCAGUUUGAAAAAUGGAAGAAAAGUUUCUUGGUUUGAUUGUAACCGGCAAUUCUUGCCUCUCAAUCAUGAAUUUAGAAGAAACAAGAAUGCUUUUUAUAAAGGAAGAGAGGAAAAGUCUAGACCUCCUCUCAGGUUAACUGGAGAACAAGUGUGGGAAAAAAUUAAAGGAUUUCCUAAGAUUACUGAAUCUAGUCCUCGCAACUUUUACGGUUAUGGAAAAUCACAUAAUUGGACCAAAAGAAGUAUUUUUUGGGAUCUACCAUAUUGGAAGACCAAUCUAGUUCGCCACAAUCUUGAUGUAAUGCAUAUAGAAAAGAAUGUCUUUGACAAUAUUUUCCAUACAGUCAUGGAUAACAGUGAGAGAACAAAGGAUAAUGAGAAGGCAAGAAUGGACUUGAAAGAAUAUUGUCGUCGAAGUGAUUUACACUUGCAACAGAAUGCUGAUGGGAGAUGGAUUAAACCCAAAGCAAAGUUUACUUUAAAUGACGACCAAAAGAAAGAUAUAUGUGAGUGGGUUCAUGAGCUAAAAAUGGU